GAAACUUUAACCUAAUGUCUUUCUUUUAAAUACGUGAAAUGAAACAAAUUAGACCCACAACGGCGGCUACGGUGAUAUAAUUCUUCUAGGUCUCCUUCACUCUGCUCCCAGAGUUCUUGCUGGCCUUUGGAAUCCUCUGCUAAUGGUGCCUUAUCAGUCGAUUGCUUCUUUUCUGCUUUUGAUACCGUCGUAGACAGGAAGGAUUGAGAAAGCAAAGUUGCGACUUGGGAGGAGAUCGGCUACAGACGAUAUAUUAUUUAAAAUUAAGAUGAGAUUUCCUUCUGAAGUUCGAUGUCUCCACUGAUUCGAAUAUGAAGUCCCUCGAUCUCUCUUUCUCUGCUAAUUAUUAUUCAUACAUUUUUGUUCAUUGAUAAUCAUACAAUUAAGUUUAGUUAUUUUAAGGUUUUUAUAGUGUGUAGCUUUGAUGAUAUUAUUUGCUUGCAAAAUUGGUGCUUUAUUGAAAUAUUUGCUGCUUUUAUGCAGCGCUUUCAUAUGUUCGUAUGAUAUCUAGUUUGGAGUGCUUAAGGGGAAGGUAAAGAUUGUUUUUUUUUUGGGUUAUCUAAGCAAAUUUUAUUUUGUUUUUGAUAAAGCAUUAAUUAAUUUUGUUUGAUUUUCCAUCUUGCUUUAGAGUAAGGAAUUUAUUGUCUAACUCUAAUUAGUGUAAUGAAUGUUAUCAGGUUUUUCAUCUAAAGAUACUCAAAUGGUUGAUUGUUGGCUCAUACGUCUAUUCCAAUGUAAAGAUUAAUCAUUGGCGUCAAUUUCUUGGUAGGAGGAAUGUGAAAAUGAGAUAAUUCUUUUUUCAAUUCUAACACUGAUUUCAAAUAGGAUACAAAUAUUCAGUGAUCUUAAUUGGCAUUUGGCAAGCUGAUUAACAAAGAGUUUUGCUUGAUAGUGGAGUUUGGACGAAACUGGCUAUGCAUGUAUCUUUAGUUUUGCCUCUAUUUGGUCUUGUUCUAAAAAGCUAUAUUUUUAAGUUUUCUUUUGUAUUUUUUGUUUACUUAUAUAUGAUAUAUCAAGUAUGCCUCACUCAAAUGAGCUCUGUUUCUCGCAGGGUUACAUUUAGAUGUAUUCUUGGUAUGGAGCUCAAUUUAGGUGUAUGCUAGUUUUGGAGCUCCGUGUUUAUUCCUUGUACAGUAAACUUCUGCUAGGUGAAUAAAAUGUGCUCCUUAACGGUGGUUGCUAAAGUUAGGAUUGUUGAUUCCAAUAUCACCAAAUUCAAUACUCCACCAAACUUUUACCAGAGUUGUUUAACAUUUAAAUUGUUGUGUAUCUCUGUCAAAUUCAUGAUAAUAUUGUCCUUGAUUUCUGUUAAGGUAUGUAAUUGAUUGUUGCAGUCUUUGUAAGUUAGUUUUAUUUGUUAUAUUUUUUGGAUUAGGAGAUACUUUACUUAGAAAGAUAAGUAUUGGACUAUAAUAACAUACAACUACUUAAGCGAUAGCUGCUAUCUUUGAUUAAAUCCUACUGCAUAGUUUAUAGAGUUACCCAAUAUCCUUUCUGUUCUCUUCUAGGGGAUUUAUUACUUAAAGUUGGAAUUCUGCAAUAAUUAGUGGUAUUAGCCAUCAUUUUGAUCAUCACCUCAGAUAAUCCUUUUCUUGCAAUUCAGGAUAUUAACAAAUGAGUAGGCACUCAAGCGACUUGGAGAGGAAGCUCCUAAAAGAAAGUAGCAGAAGGAGUGGAAAAAAGAGCUGAAGAAGUGAAGAUAUCUCUUGUCUCGAUAUUAGUUUGAAUCCAGCAAUGUUUAAUUGUAAAGGUUUAUAGCUAUUCACAAUUUUAUUCUUGUAUAGGGAUCUUAUGUUUGCAAAUAUUUUUUUUGUUUAAAUUCUCUAUGGUGAAUGACAUUUGUAGGUACAAUUUGAACUUUGAUGGUUAUACUUUCCUGUUAAUGGAAUAAAAUUUUUGUUUCUACAUUAUAGGAUGUGUUGCAUAAACAUCAAUGAGUAUUUCAAUUUUGAC
RNAcentral lists this long non-coding RNA (1953 nucleotides) under Nicotiana tabacum (common tobacco). Its description in RNAcentral is "long non-coding RNA (NTAB_LNC010760)". Lineage: Eukaryota; Viridiplantae; Streptophyta; Magnoliopsida; Solanales; Solanaceae. The record is from RNAcentral.